GAUGAACGCUGGCGGCGUGCCUAAUACAUGCAAGUCGAGCGAACGGACGAGAAGCUUGCUUCUCUGAUGUUAGCGGCGGACGGGUGAGUAACACGUGGAUAACCUACCUAUAAGACUGGGAUAACUUCGGGAAACCGUAGCUAAUACCGGAUAAUAUUUUGAACCGCAUGGUUCAAAAGUGAAAGACGGUCUUGCUGUCACUUAUAGAUGGAUCCGCGCUGCAUUAGCUAGUUGGUAAGGUAACGGCUUACCAAGGCAACGAUGCAUAGCCGACCUGAGAGGGUGAUCGGCCAAACUGGAACUGAGACACGGUCCAGACUCCUACGGGAGGCAGCAGUAGGGAAUCUUCCGCAAUGGGCGAAAGCAUGACGGAGCAACGCCGCGUGAGUGAUGAAGGUCUUCGGAUCGUAAAACUCUGUUAUUAGGGAAGAACAUAUGUGUAAGUAACUGUGCACAUCUUGACGGUACCUAAUCAGAAAGCCACGGCUAACUACGUG
This 497-nucleotide ribosomal RNA is filed under the name uncultured bacterium. RNAcentral's name for it is "partial 16S ribosomal RNA". It matches the Rfam family "Bacterial small subunit ribosomal RNA", at positions 28 to 507 of the family's 1533-position model. The record is from RNAcentral.